Molecule: ribosomal RNA, 449 nt
Filed under: uncultured bacterium
Lineage: Bacteria
Description: partial 16S ribosomal RNA
Rfam family: Bacterial small subunit ribosomal RNA
Source: RNAcentral
GCCCAGACUCCUACGGGAGGCAGCAGUGGGGGAUAUUGCACAAUGGGGGGAACCCUGAUGCAGCGACGCCGCGUGGGUGAAGAAGCGCCUCGGCGCGUAAAGCCCUGUCAGCAGGGAAGAAAAUGACGGUACCUGAAGAAGAAGCCCCGGCUAACUACGUGCCAGCAGCCGCGGUAAUACGUAGGGGGCAAGCGUUAUCCGGAUUUACUGGGUGUAAAGGGGGCGCAGACGGCGAUGCAAGCCAGGAGUGAAAGCCCGGGGCCCAACCCCGGGACUGCACUGGAAACUGCCGGGCUGGAGUGUCGGAGGGGCAGGCGGAAUUCCUAGUGUAGCGGUGAAAUGCGUAGAUAUUAGGAGGAACACCGGUGGCGAAGGCGGCCUGCUGGACGACGACUGACGCUGAGGCUCGAAAGCGUGGGGAGCAAACAGGAUUAGAUACCCCCGUAAUC